AUGGAAUCAAUGAUGUGAUCAAGUAAAUAAGGAUUGUGAAACAGAAAAUAUAGCCUGGGCUGAAAGCUAUAUCACCCCUCCUUAUUGAACCCUGCCACGGAGAUUGUUAGUAAAGCUAACCGGGUCGUUUCGUUACAAACGUUUGGAGGACUUUAGAUUUUAAAUUAAAGUCGAACUAAGGUGGUACCACGUCUAUUAGCGUAAAGACGUCCUUUUG
Molecule: non-coding RNA, 217 nt
Filed under: Bacillus sp. (in: firmicutes)
Lineage: Bacteria; Bacillati; Bacillota; Bacilli; Caryophanales; Bacillaceae
Description: Bacillus sp. T-box sequence
Rfam family: T-box leader
About the family: Uncharged tRNA acts as the effector for transcription antitermination of genes in the T-box leader family. T-boxes are found upstream of many aminoacyl-tRNA synthetase genes and some amino acid biosynthetic genes usually in Gram-positive bacteria.
Source: RNAcentral